GAUGAACGCUGGCGGCGUGCCUAAUACAUGCAAGUCGAGCGAACUGAUUAGAAGCUUGCUUCUAUGACGUUAGCGGCGGACGGGUGAGUAACACGUGAGCAACCUGCCUGUAAGACUGGGAUAACUUCGGGAAACCGAGGCUAAUACCAGAUAGGAUCUUCUCCUUCAUGGGAGAUGAUUGAAAGAUGGUUUCGGCUAUCAAUUACAGAUGGGCCCGCGGUGCAUUAGCUAGUUGGUGAGGUAACGGCUCACCAAGGCAACGAUGCAUAGCCGACCUGAGAGGGUGAUCGGCCACACUGGGACUGAGACACGGCCCAGACUCCUACGGGAGGCAGCAGUAGGGAAUCCUCCGCAAUGGACGAAAGUCUGACGGAGCAACGCCGCGUGAGUGAUGAAGGCUUUCGGGUCGUAAAACUCUGUUGUUAGGGAAGAACAAGUACGAGAGUAACUGCUCGUACCUUGACGGUACCUAACCAGAAAGCCACGGCUAACUACGUGCCAGCAGCCGCGGUAA
This 514-nucleotide ribosomal RNA is filed under the name uncultured bacterium. Its description in RNAcentral is "partial 16S ribosomal RNA". It matches the Rfam family "Bacterial small subunit ribosomal RNA", at positions 28 to 523 of the family's 1533-position model. The record is from RNAcentral.